UACUCAUAACAUUACAACAUAACCUAUAUGAAAAACAUUAUUUUGAUUUUGAUAUGAUUUGUUAAAAAAGAAUUUCUGAAAAGAAUACAAAAGCUAAAAGUUGAUUUAAGUAGUUUGAAUUUUUCUUUUGAUAAAUCAUGCCCUGUUGUGCGGUAAAAAGCUGUAAGAAUCAUCCAAAAUUCUUACCACAAAAUAGCCAAAUUAUUUUUCAUUCGUUCCCCAAAGAGGAUAUCUAUAAAGAAUGGCUCAAAUUAGUCAAUCGGACUGUAGAAAACUGGGAUGGUCCAAAAGGCAAAGUAGUAUGCUCGGAGCAUUUCAAAGAAUCAGAUUACUAUACGUUUUUCGGGAAAAAAUGUCUCCGUCCGAACGCAUUGCCUUCGGUCAAAUUGGAUCCAGUUAUAAAAAUAACUAUGAACUUAACAAGGGGCCCGUUGAGAAGAAUACCAGUUCAAAGAGCUCGAAACAAAAUGAGACAUAAUCCUCUAAUGACACCUUCACUUUUAAAAUCCAGACCUUUAAUAAGGAGACCUAUUUAUAGAAUACUUGCAAGAGCAGAAAAUAUUAUGAACAACAGUAUUAAUAUUAUUAACAGAGAAUUUGGUAUGAAUUUAACAAAAGAGAGUGUUCUAGCGUCUAUAGAUAAAAAUGGAGAAGAUUUAAAACAAGUGAAGAAUAGUGAGCCAGAGGUCAGUAUUGAUUUAACAGAAGACAAUCCGGAGGUAGAGGAACAAGUAGAAACAGUACAACAAAUAGAAUUACCAGUGGAACAAAGUAUUGAUCUAACACAAGAUGAUCCAGUAGUGGAAAAUGUACAACAAACAGUACAACAAAUAAAAUUACGUGUGAAACCAAGGUCCGUUUUACUAGCAUCACCGAAAUCCAAAGCACCCACAGAACCAAUACAAUUUAAUGAAGGAGCGUUAUUGACUAAUGUGCAACAAUCACAAACUGUCAAUUUAAUCCCAAGGUCUGAUUUAUUACCAUCAGUAGAAUCUAUGGCUUCCAGUAACCCACUACAAUUUAAUAAACCAACAACAUUGAAACCUGUAAAACAACCACAAAAACUCAAUUUAGUCCCAAGGUCUGCUUUACUACCAUCAGUAGAGUCUAUGGAUUCCAAUGGCCCACUACAAUUUAAUAAACCAACAACUUUGAAAACUGUAAAACAACCACAAAAUCUAAAUUUAAUCCCAAGGUCUGCUUUAUUACCAUCAGUAGAGUCUAUGGCUUCUAGUAACCCACUACAAUUUAAUAAAUCAACAACAUUGAAACCUGUAAAACGACCACAAAAUCUCAGUUUAGUCCCAAGGUCUGCUUUACUACCAUCAGUAAAGUCUGUGGAUUCCAAUAACCCACUAAAUAAAACAAUAUUGAAAACUGUAAAACAACCACAAAAUCUCAAUUUAAUCCCAAGGUCUAUUUUAAAAUCAGCUGUAUCACCUGUUGCACCCAAGAAACCAACGAAACUAGUUAAUGGAUCAAGUAUAUUGAAAAAUGUUCAGAAACAACAACCACAAACUCUCAAUUUGAUCACAAGUAAUGGUAUAACACAGGAUCGUAUUAUAUUAACACCAAUACAACCAAACAUAGGAGUAUUACAGCCAGAAAAAGUAAAGAUUGAACCAAGGGUUCCACCAUUACACACUAAGGCACAACAUGUAGCGCCUAUAUUACGUAAAGCUAAACGAAAACUGAUAAGGGUUCCUAUACAAAAUAUAGUACCGGGGACACCUAUGGGACCCAUUAUAAUUAACAAUCAACCUGAUAACGAGGCAGUUCCAAGCGUUGAAAAUAUCAUCAGCAUUGGUGAACAGGAGGGACAAAUAAUUUAUAUAAUUCAGGAAAAUCCACCAACAGAAGAAAACUGUAAUGUGGUCGAAAUUCAAGAGCAACCUGUCGAAUGUGUGGAAGUAACGGAAACUGUGUCAUCUAGAGGGCCAUUCCGAUUUGAAUUAGAUGAUGAUGCAAUAAUAACUCUUAAUAAUGAUAUUGAGAAUAAUAUUGCAUCUUAGAUUGAAUUAUAUUUUUAUCAAGAUGUGAAAGCGCUUAGGAAAACAUAGGCAUCCCAAAUCUCAUUCAAAUCUGAAUAACGGUUCUUAAAAUGUCUUAAAAAAUGUGUUUAUUUUUCUAAAGUUUGAUGCCAUCUAUUGGACAAACCAAGCACUUUUGUAUAGAGUAUGCAAUACAAUAGUACAUAUAUACCAAAAUGGGAUUGAAGCAGAAUAAGACACAAUAUGUUACAUAAAGGAAAUCACAUGUUGUUGUUACAGGAGGAUUUAUCAAACAAAUAUGGUUUAGAUAUGUAUUUAUAGAAUCCGAAUCAAUGUAUAAAUGAAGUGUUAAAGAAAUAGCAUUUCACUUCUGAUUCGUAUUAUGAUCUUUGUGUGUUUCAUUUUUUAUUUUUUUGUGACCUUUCUAUUAAUAAGUUUUAAUAAUUUUGUAGUUGUAUAAAAUUUAAAUAAGUUGUAAACAUAUGCCACGCAAAAAUUGAACUUAUUUCCAUUGAAUUUACGCGUCAAAGUACAAAUCUGUACAUAAUAGAGAAAAACGGCAUCACGGUAGCCAUUGAAACGUCAAUCAUUGCUAAUUUCUAUCAAAUCAAUCCCUUUUCUCACCCAUUUUAUAAUUGAUAUAUGUAUAGGGAUUCCCACUCUACACAAUUACCCAUUGAUUGCCAUUUCAAAAACCACUGUGAUGCCUUUUUUGUCAUAGUGUAUAAUAAGUUCUCAAGAAUAAUUUGUUUUAUAAAAUGUAUAAUUGUAUAGAAUAUAUAUCAGAUAUUAUAUUUUUUAUUG
RNA transcript from Sitophilus oryzae (rice weevil), 2795 nucleotides. RefSeq lists it as uncharacterized. Lineage: Eukaryota; Metazoa; Arthropoda; Insecta; Coleoptera; Curculionidae. The transcript has 17 exons. The record is from RefSeq and is a predicted model, not a curated record.